Molecule: ribosomal RNA, 253 nt
Filed under: uncultured bacterium
Lineage: Bacteria
Description: partial 16S ribosomal RNA
Rfam family: Bacterial small subunit ribosomal RNA
Source: RNAcentral
UACAGAGGGUGCGAGCGUUGUCCGGAAUCACUGGGCUUAAAGGGCGCGUAGGCGGACCAUCAAGUCAGGAGUGAAAUCCCCCGGCUCAACCGGGGAAGUGCUUUUGAUACUGGUGGUCUCGAGUGGGGUAUGGGCGUGCGGAACUUCCGGUGGAGCGGUGAAAUGCGUAGAGAUCGGAAGGAACGCCGGUGGCGAAAGCGGCACGCUGGACCCUUUCUGACGCUGAGGCGCGAAAGCCAGGGGAGCAAACGGG